Mirounga angustirostris (Northern elephant seal) is the source of this 1474-nucleotide long non-coding RNA. RefSeq lists it as uncharacterized. The transcript is spliced from 2 exons. NCBI's taxonomy places the organism in Eukaryota, Metazoa, Chordata, Mammalia, Carnivora, Phocidae. The record is from RefSeq and is a predicted model, not a curated record.
GACCUGGUUUGCCCUGCAAGUCUCCGGUUCAGACCGCGGCCCGCGCAGCGGCAUUUUUGCACCUGGCAGAAGGUCCAAGAGCAACAGCUCCUGUUUCAGGGCCGAGGCCUUACUGUCCGUUCAGUUGUCUCAAAAAUCCUCCCCGGCUGGUUUAAUUCCCACCCGGGUUUCACAAACAAGGAAGCGGAGCUUAACAGCGCGCAGGAGGUGACGCCAGGUCAGAGAAGCAGAAACCGGGACGGCCCCCGCGUCCCCGCCUCUGUCCUCUGCGCCACCGCCUCGGCCGGGACCCGCCCCGGCCCGCCGGCCCAGCCCCGCUUUCCUGGACCCCGCAGGCUGCUCCGUAUCCAGCAGAGUCUAUUCCAAUGUCUGUUGAACAAGAGUAAGAAGAUAAGAUUCAAAGCAAUUCCCCAGUAUUCUUCAGAUUCUAUCAGCUGUGAGACACGACCAGGUGUUCGAAGAUGGUUGGCUGCCUUUCAUUCCUCUGAACUCCAUCCUUCCUUGGCAUGAUGGAGAAGGAAGAGGAACUCAAGACCCACCUGGUGCAGCAUCUUACAUCUAAUGAGGUACCCAACUGAGCGAACAAUUUGAACUUAACACAUCCCACGUUGCAAGAGUGGGCCAAGACACGUGGCACCUGGGACUACAGCUUUGCCUCCCCCAGGAGCUAGAAAUCUGGUGCUCAGGAGAACGUCAGGCGUGGGCCAGGCCCCUGGGAAGAAGCACACCCUCCUAUAUAAUGAAAAGGCCACAGUCCCGACUUCACUCUCAUCCCCAUGUCUAAAGAGUAGGUGCAACAGAGGAGGAAAACCUACCUACGGAAGCAUCAGCCCUUUCUACGUGAUAAUAGUGUCUUGCAGGGUGCCUUGGGGGAGCCCCACUGUACAGAAUAUUCCUUUUGUACAUGGUGCCUGUGGGUCACGUUCCUUAGGGAAUAUCAGGUGAGAGAAAGCCUGGUGGCUGGCGGGUCUUGGGACCACUAUGACCUGGGAAAGCCUUUGGGGGCCAAACCUCUUGUUCUCUCUUCAAUGGGAAGUUCCCUUCCCGAACUAGAAGAGUAUCAUCGUCUCCCCAGAACACCAUUUAACUUCCUCUUCUUCAGAGAUGAAGUCUUUAUUAUCAGAUGUCAAGAUGUUUUGUACUCAGGCAUCAACGUCACAUCUCAGAGAGACAGUAUUUUAUAACCUGAAGACAGAGAAGAGCAUGGAAUAGCUGCACAUACAGACAGUUGAUUUCAUUCAUGAAUUCCUUUUUGCCUUCAAUGAGUGCCUGGAGAAAUCCUUCUAAGUCCGCUGUUGUCACUGGGACCACCUUGUUCAAGCCAACAUGCUCUCUGGGUUGGACCAGUGCAAUAGUUUCAUAGUUCUAUUUGCUUCUGUUCUUUUUUUUUUUUUUUAAUAUUUUUACAAGUUUAUUAAUUAAUUUAUUUUUGAGUAAUCUCUACACCCAACGUGGGGCUCGAACUCAUGACCCC